RNAcentral lists this ribosomal RNA (164 nucleotides) under Allium roseum. Its description in RNAcentral is "5.8S ribosomal RNA". It matches the Rfam family "5.8S ribosomal RNA". Rfam says of the family: 5.8S ribosomal RNA (5.8S rRNA) is a component of the large subunit of the eukaryotic ribosome. It is transcribed by RNA polymerase I as part of the 45S precursor that also contains 18S and 28S rRNA. Functionally, it is thought that 5.8S rRNA may be involved in ribosome translocation. The record is from RNAcentral. Lineage: Eukaryota; Viridiplantae; Streptophyta; Magnoliopsida; Asparagales; Amaryllidaceae. RNAcentral also lists the same sequence under 1 other name.
CGCAUGACUCUUGGCAACGGAUAUCUAGGCUCUCGCGUCGAUGAAGAACGUAGCAAAAUGCGAUACUUGGUGUGAAUUGCAGAAUCCCGUGAACCAUCGAGUCUUUGAACGCAAGUUGCGCCUAAGACCGUCAGGUCAAGGGCACGUCUGCUUGGGCGUCGCGC